AAUUUCCCACUGCGAGGCAGGCAGUGAUGCUGUGGCCGCUUCGCACUGUGGCUCCUGCCGACCGCCAGGCGCUGCUACGGUGGAUGCGAACUAACCGUAAGUAUGCAGCAGCAGCUGGAACCCACAGUUCACCUUGGUGCAUUCCUUUAUGAUGAAGACUUAUUGAUUCAUUAUAUGAGAAAGGAAAAAUGAGCAGAAACUACUGUAUGAUGUGCAGCUCACACCUGACAGCACCUUUAGGGUUAUCUUUCCAGUUCAGCAGUGCAACUCUAUGGAGUAGAAUUGAAAGGAGACUUUCGCCAAUUGCAGGAAAUGGUCAUAAAAAAAUACCUGUUCACUGACAGAAUAAAGUAGAGACGGAGUUUCACUGUGUUAGCCAGGAUGGCCUCGAUCUCCUGACCUCGUGAUCCGCCAGCCUUGGCCUCCCAAAGUGCUGGGAUUACAGGCGUGAGCCACCGCACCCGGCCUCCCCUUUUUUACAGAAGGUGCUUCAUGCAGACAUCUGUACACCAGAUUUACUUCUGCAAAAUGCUGAUGCUAUGAAUAAUGCUUUUGAAUAUUAAUAAGGCAAAACAGACCAGCACAUGUGCCUCACUCUUCAUGGUAAACGUUUUACUGAAGAAUAACAUACAGAAAAGUGGACAAGUCUUAACUGCACAGCUCAAGGAAUUUCCAUGAAAUAAGAUUAGCAUAUUCGUAGUCUGGAAAAUGCUAUACGAAGAAUGUAAAACAUGAAACUACUUGUGGACCAAAUGAAAAACUGUGGAGCAGAUUAUGAUGCAGUUAGACCUUGCUUGAAUGACUUUGACCCACAAAAGCAGAGUAAUUUAUCCCUACUUACAGAGAGAUUGCCCUACGUGUAACAGCUGCAUACAAAAAAGUUAUAAAAUUAUCAUUGGUUUAACAAGGAUAAAUGAAAAACAUUAAAAUUCUCCAACUGAACAAGGUGUGUCUGUUUCAUUGAUUGGCUGACUGUCAAAUCGGAAUCUGAUCUGCCCCAUUGACAAUGCCUUGGGCUUUUCCUCGGCCAUGGCAAAUGCCAGAGUAUUCUCAGCUGCCGCUUCACAAAAGAGGUACCAGCUUCUCACCGAACGAACACAGUGCAGCACCAGGAGUGACAGAAGAAGGAGGCGGCAGCGGUGGUUGAGGGACAGGGUGCGUGCACGUCCAAGUACAGUUCUUAAAAUGUUGAGGGCAUACAACAUAUGCUCAAUAAAUACCUGAUUUUUAAAAAAGACAAUGACUAUGGAAAACUCUUGAUCAUUAACCCGAAGGGAGAGUCUAGUUUCCAGGAAGCAUUUGUUUGUAUACACUGUUUAACCCAAGGAUACACUCUUUUCUCCGUGGCAGCGUGACUCAUCUUAGUCUCCAA
Long non-coding RNA from Gorilla gorilla gorilla (western lowland gorilla), 1372 nucleotides. RefSeq lists it as uncharacterized. The transcript is spliced from 9 exons. The record is from RefSeq and is a predicted model, not a curated record. Lineage: Eukaryota; Metazoa; Chordata; Mammalia; Primates; Hominidae.